Molecule: unclassified non-coding RNA, 272 nt
Filed under: plant metagenome
Description: partial contains small subunit ribosomal RNA, internal transcribed spacer 1, and 5.8S ribosomal RNA
Source: RNAcentral
UUUCCGUAGGUGAACCUGCGGAAGGAUCAUUAAUGAGUUGUCAUGGGGUUCGAUGCUGGCAGCCAGUUUUUGGAUGCAUGUGCUUGCCCUAACAAUCAUCUUCUUCCAAACACCUGUGCACAUUUUUGAGUGAGUCUUGAGUUGGUUGCCGCUCUUGGGUGAUUUUCUCACAUUCCCUUAAAUCAUUAUACGCUAUUAACAAUGUUGAACGUGCUCUGUGCCGCAAGGCCAUUAAUAUAAUACAACUUUUAACAACGGAUCUCUUGGCUCUC